GAUGAAGAACGUAGUGAAAUGCGAUACUUGGUGUGAAUUGCAGAAUCCCGUGAACCAUCGAGUCUUUGAACGCAAGUUGCGCCCGAAGCCACUAGGCCGAGGGCACGCCUGCCUAGGCGUCACACGCCGUUGCCCCCCCAUCUACUCCUUCGGGAUUGCGGGGGGGCGGAUGAUGGCCUCCCGUGCGCCUAGCCGCGCGGUUGGCAUAAAUACCAAGUCCUCGGCGACGCACGCCACGACAAUCGGUGGUUGCGAAACCUCGGUUGCCCGUCGUGUGCGUUCGUCGCGCAUCGAGGGCUCGAAAAAAUGCUCGGCUCCGGCUGGGCUUUCAACGCGACCCCAGGUCAGGCGGGGUUACCCGCUGAAUUUAAGCAUAUCAAUAAGCGGAGGA
This 391-nucleotide unclassified non-coding RNA is filed under the name soil metagenome. Its description in RNAcentral is "partial contains 5.8S ribosomal RNA, internal transcribed spacer 2, and large subunit ribosomal RNA". The stretch from base 1 to 122 matches the Rfam family "5.8S ribosomal RNA", at positions 35 to 154 of the family's 154-position model. The record is from RNAcentral.